RNAcentral lists this non-coding RNA (91 nucleotides) under Gorillibacterium timonense. Its description in RNAcentral is "TPP riboswitch (THI element)". It matches the Rfam family "TPP riboswitch aptamer (THI element)", at positions 6 to 93 of the family's 105-position model. Rfam says of the family: Vitamin B(1) in its active form thiamin pyrophosphate (TPP) is an essential coenzyme that is synthesised by coupling of pyrimidine and thiazole moieties in bacteria. The previously detected thiamin-regulatory element, thi box was extended, resulting in a new, highly conserved RNA secondary structure, the THI element, which is widely distributed in eubacteria and also occurs in some archaea. The record is from RNAcentral. Lineage: Bacteria; Bacillati; Bacillota; Bacilli; Caryophanales; Paenibacillaceae.
AAUCACUAGGGGGGCCAAUCCGGCUGAGAUGGAGCGAUGCAGCUCCGGACCCUUGGAACCUGAACUGGAUCAUACCAGCGGAGGGAAGUGA